UGCAAUGAGAGUUGUGCUAAGGUAGCGCGAUAAUUUGUCUCUUAAUUGGAGAAUGGUAUGAAAGGUUUGUCGCAGAUUAAUUGUCUCUAAAAAAAACAAUGAAGUUUCCUUUCAAAUGAAAAGGUUUAAAUUUUUGUAAAAGACGAGAAGACCCUGUCGAGCUAAAUUAGGCAAUAGAUUCUUAGGUACAAAGUGCUGAAUCUUUAGUUAAAAAGUAGUUGGGGAGAGCUAAGCUUUAGAAAAUAGGUUUAAUAGUUAGACACAGAUCCUCUUUGAGAGAAAGUUGGCAAAAGCUACCGCAGGGAUAACAGCGUAAUUUUUCUUGAGAGAUCGUAUUGAGGGAAAAGUUUGCGACCUCGAUGUUGGAUUAUA
This 372-nucleotide ribosomal RNA is filed under the name Paratapes undulatus (undulate venus clam). RNAcentral's name for it is "partial 16S ribosomal RNA". It matches the Rfam family "Bacterial large subunit ribosomal RNA", at positions 1935 to 2541 of the family's 2925-position model. The record is from RNAcentral. Lineage: Eukaryota; Metazoa; Mollusca; Bivalvia; Venerida; Veneridae.